UCUGCCCUGUAGAUUUACACACAGUGCAC
RNAcentral lists this non-coding RNA (29 nucleotides) under Mus musculus (house mouse). Lineage: Eukaryota; Metazoa; Chordata; Mammalia; Rodentia; Muridae. The record is from RNAcentral.